AGUGUGAGAAACACUCUCGCCGUAAGUCCAAGGGUUCCUGCGCAAGGCUAAUCCGCGCAGGGUGAGUCGGCCCCUAAGACGAGGGUGAAAGCCGUAGUCGAUGGGAAUCAGGUUAAUAUUCCUGAACCUGGUGGUAGUGACGGACGCCGGAAGUAGUCUCCUCUUACUGGAUUGAGGGGGCUGCCUGGGCGUUCCAGGAAAUAGCUCCACCGUUAAGACCGUACCCGAAACCGACACAGGUGGACUGGUAGAGAAUACCGAGGCGCUUGAGGGAACUAUGUUGAAG
This 286-nucleotide ribosomal RNA is filed under the name Alexandrium margalefii. RNAcentral describes it as "partial Bacterial large subunit ribosomal RNA". It matches the Rfam family "Bacterial large subunit ribosomal RNA", at positions 1318 to 1709 of the family's 2925-position model. Lineage: Eukaryota; Dinophyceae; Gonyaulacales; Pyrocystaceae. The record is from RNAcentral.